RNAcentral lists this ribosomal RNA (255 nucleotides) under Staphylococcus simulans. RNAcentral describes it as "partial 16S ribosomal RNA". It matches the Rfam family "Bacterial small subunit ribosomal RNA", at positions 1269 to 1522 of the family's 1533-position model. The record is from RNAcentral. Lineage: Bacteria; Bacillati; Bacillota; Bacilli; Caryophanales; Staphylococcaceae.
AAAUCCCAUAAAGCCGUUCUCAGUUCGGAUUGUAGUCUGCAACUCGACUACAUGAAGCUGGAAUCGCUAGUAAUCGUAGAUCAGCAUGCUACGGUGAAUACGUUCCCGGGUCUUGUACACACCGCCCGUCACACCACGAGAGUUUGUAACACCCGAAGCCGGUGGAGUAACCUUUUAGGAACUAGCCGUCGAAGGUGGGACAAAUGAUUGGGGUGAAGUCGUAACAAGGUAGCCGUAUCGGAAGGUGCGGCUGGA